AUUGCCUGGAGAUGACAGAAGGCUGAGGAUGGAGAGAGGCACUGAUAGAGGCCAGACCAGACAAGCAGUGCCAAGUCCAUAGUGGGACACCAAAGGGAGGAGGCAAUCCCAGAUGAGGUCCAUCCCAGAACCAGACCUUGCAGGGACCUCAAGGAGCUAUGAACAUAGAAACCCUAUACAUGAUAUCACUUGAAUCCCUCCACAAGGGCUUCUGAUAUUGUCUUAGACCUUUGGAAAGUUCAGGGGUAGUAGCCUCUGGGCCCAUAGUGCUCCCCUGAUGAUGCAGCCCCACCCUCAACUCUUGCCACUGCAGAUGCUCCUUGGGCAGUUUCAUCUGGGCCUUUCACAUCAGCUCCCUCCAAAUGUGACUGGACCUCAAAUGGAUCUUCAGACCCCCAUGCCCAACCACCUCCCAGCUACCUUCCCUGGACAACCCACAGGUCACAUGAUCACCAGGAAGCCCAUGUCUCUGCAUGAUAACCUGGAGAAACCUACAGAUGCCAGGCUUCUGAAUCUCAUUCACCAUGCUUCCCAGGGAUCAAGGAAGAAAUACCCAGAGAUACAGACUGAAAAAUCAGGAAACUGGAUGGGAUUCAGAGCCCUUGGAAUGGAGCCUUCUCAUUCAUUCACCCAACUCCAGUCUAAAACGUGCAGCUCUGAAGCAGGGCUGCUUCAUAGAGACUUGAGUAAAUAGCACAGUAAAGCCCAGGUUUUACCAGUGAGGAGGAGAGUAAAUACACUGAUCAUUUGCAAGAGCACCUCUUCAGAUAUGGCACCUCUCCUUGGAGAGAGGAGACUAUGGAAGACAGGGAGACCAUUCUAGCUGAAGCUCACACCACUUACACAACAAAAGAUCUAAGUCGAAAAGGGAGAGAGUAAAGACCUGGCUCACAUGGGUGUGAAGUGUGCAUGUGGAAACAUUGCAUCUUUAACAUUUCACAACAUCUUGUAGCAGGCUUACUAUGGCAGGAAGGACAAGUGUGGCUGGCCCAGCCAGUGCUGUCCUGCUCAGACCUUCCUAGGCUUUGCAAUGCUGGGAUAAUAGGGAAGCCACACUCAAUGAGCAUCUCUCAGCCUCACAUCUCCUGGUCAACCCAGAAUGCCACAACCACAGGCCGAACCACAGAUCUGGAGGCUGGGAAAUCCAAGAACAUGGCACUGGCAUCAGGCAAGGGUCAGCCCAUGCUGGAGGGCAGAAGGCAGAAGUGAGCAUGUGAGACAGAGAUAAGAAAUUAGGCUGAACUUGCUUGUAUAGCAAACCCAGCCUCUCAAUAACUAACCCGCUCCAGCAAUAAUGGCAUUAAUCCAUUCAUGAGGGCAGAGCCCCCAUGACCUAUUCACAUCCUAAAGGCCCCACAUCAAUCAUAUCUCAACAUGAGGUUCAGAGGACACAAACAUUCAAACCAUAGCAGUCGGUAGAGAGCAUCAACAUAUAUUGUGGAGCAGGAAAGCAAACGUCCAGAGAGAAUGUCUAUGAUGGUACCCAAUGAGUCUAGGACCAGGAUUCUUAUGCUAUGGUCACUCAUAUUUUUGAGUUUCAUCAAAUGAAUGUCCUUCACAUCACCAGCAAGCAGCUUCCACCUUCUGGAUCUUCAGAAUGGUCUUAAAGAUGAGGGAUGGAGGCCAGGCAUGCUGGCUUAUGACUGUAAUCCCAGCAGGAAGCUAGGAGCCCAAGGCAGGAAGAUUGCUUGAGGCUAAGAGUUCAAGAUCAGUUUGGGCAACACAGCAAAAACCUAUCUCUACAAAAACUAAAAAUAAAAAUAAAUCACCUGAGCAUGGUGGUGCAUGCUUAUAGGCUGAGGUGGCUAAGGUGGAAGGAUUGCUUAAGCCCAGGAAGUUGAGACCGCAGAGAGCCAUGAUAGCACCAUUGCACUCUGAGCAACAGGGCAAGACCCCAACUCUAAAAAAAUAAAUAAACAAAUAGAGAUGGAAGGAAGAAUUAAUGGAUAAAGUUUUGAGACUAUCCCACUUAUAAAAGAAUUAUUUUUAUUUCUUGAAUAUAAGAAAGACAGGGUCUUGCCAUAUUGCCCAGGCUGGUCUCGAAUGCCUGGGCUCUAUCAAUCCAACCAUGCCCAGUUAAUGUAUUUAUUUAUAUUUAUUUUUUGUAGAGAUAGGUUCUUGCUAUGAUGCCCAAGCUGAUCUUGAACUCCUGGCCUCAGUUGAGCCACUGUGCCCAGCCUUAGGAGAAUUAUUAAAUGUAUAAGUAAAUGUGAUUCAAUGCUCAUACCUCUCUAAACUUAUUUCAUAAACACAUUCAGAAUCAUAAAAUGAUGGUUCACUUUUUUAACCCACAUUUGUAAAAUAUAGUAAACAUAGCUAUAACUUAAUUACUAUCUUAGCUUGGGUGUCCCUGAAAGCAGAGCUUGAGGCAAAGACUUACGUGUGAUUGUUUUCCUGAGAUACAUGAUUCCAAGGAGAGGAUGUGAAUGACAGUGUCAGCAAGUGAGCAAGGAGGAAGGGUCCCUAGAAAUGGGCAUUGGCAAGUUGGCCUCCACUGUGGGUAAUUGGCUUCUCAGUCCUGAAGGACUAUUUGACAAGCCAUAUGAAAUAUGUUUUAGAACUGUGAAUAGAGGAAGAAACAUUUAUUCACCAGUUUCCAAAACCCAUUGAUCAAAGGUCAUGCCCCAAGUGUUAACACCCCCAGUGCCUUCCAGCUUAUGCAUAUGUGAGCCCUGGUGGGUUUCCAGGCACCUGGCACCCAGACUGCAAUGGCAGAGAAGCCCAGGGUGGGAUGUUAGAGGGCAUAGUAAGGGUCAGAGGCAUCUGCAGGAAGGAACUGAUGAUCCGCAGCAUCUUGUCAUAUUCUGAGAACUUAUUAAAAGCAAGCAAAAGAAACUGUACUUUUUUCUUGAUCUGUCUGUAACCCUUUUAAAGCUGAAAAGGAAAUAAAAGCUUUUUAUUUCAUGGCCUCCUGUGCAAAAAACAUAGGUCAGAUGAAAAAUCAAA
Molecule: long non-coding RNA, 2946 nt
Organism: Homo sapiens (human)
Lineage: Eukaryota; Metazoa; Chordata; Mammalia; Primates; Hominidae
Product: long intergenic non-protein coding RNA 2209
Source: Ensembl